Hydra vulgaris (swiftwater hydra) is the source of this 1171-nucleotide long non-coding RNA. RefSeq lists it as uncharacterized. NCBI's taxonomy places the organism in Eukaryota, Metazoa, Cnidaria, Hydrozoa, Anthoathecata, Hydridae. The record is from RefSeq and is a predicted model, not a curated record.
AAUUAUAACUAAUUUUACGGAGCGAUAAUUAUAAAUGACCGCCAUUUAAAAACCCUUCGGAAAUUUAUUUCGAAAAAAGCAUGAAGAUUUUAAUCUAAGGAAGACAUCAAUGAUUAUUUCUUUUGAUAAAUUAUAUAUAGUUAGCUAAUAUAGUUCACAAAAUAAAUUAUAUAUAGUUAGCUAAUAUAGUUCACAAAAUAUUUUGAUGAUUUGAUGCUUUGCAUGUUUGCUAAAAUCCUUGUGAUUUGAAACUUAUUUUGCAGAAAUAUUACAAAAGUGUUGUUCAAUAACACAAAAGAUUGCUUUAUUGGUUGUGCACUUAUCGUUUUUAUCGAUGAACCAAGAUUCAUUUAUGUCUUUUACAAAAAGGGCAUACGAAAAGAAACGCAGUAGACGUGUCCAAAAAGAAUAUUAAAAAAUACUAGAAUUUUCAUCAGUACAUAUAAAAAAAAAAUCGAAUGUUGGAACUUCUAAAAAAAAUGAUUUCUUAUCUUGCGAAAAUCUAAAAGAAUAUUUUGACCAUCAUGAGUUAUUGAUUUUGUACAAUCAAUACUCUUAUAACCAAAAGCCUCAUGAGUAUAAGCAUAACCCAACUUUAAAGGAAAGUUUUUCUGCAUGUUUUUCUAAUUAAGUAAUUAUGCACUAAACAAGUGGAUUGACAAAUAAGAAUAGCAACAAAUUUAUUGUAAUAACAGAAUAGCAACAAAUUUAUUGUCCCAAAAAAAAACUAUAACCAUGCACUGAAAAACAACCUUUCGUCAACAAAAGAAUGGCACAAAUUUCCAUUGAUAAAGUAUAAGAUAACAGAUAGUCAGUAUCUAACUUGUUUUAAGUUUUUUUUAAAGAGAUGCAAAAUGUUAUUCUCAACGAGCUUACAGAAAUAAAAGUUCUUUUAAAAGAAGUUAUAGAAAUUAAGUGUCAGGCUACUGGGGUGAAGUUGCUAUAAUCAGUGGACAAAGUGGUUACACUGGAUAAUAAACUAAAAGAUAAAACCAAGUAUACUAAUUUGCUUGAUAGUUUGAAAAAGAUUGGUGGUGGAAAGCCAAGAGAACAUGUUUUUUUGAUCAUGAAAAGAUAUCGGCGACGUGGAAGAAAAUGUUGACGGCAAUGAAGAAAUAUAGUUUCUUAUGUAUAUUUUUGUGAAAUAAAAAUUAAGUAAUGUUAGUUAAAA